GCGGCUGUCGUAUACCGGCAUUACCCGAGCUUCCCAAGCUCGUGAAGGGGGUUCGACUCCCCUCAGCCGCU
Molecule: transfer RNA, 71 nt
Filed under: Treponema sp.
Lineage: Bacteria; Pseudomonadati; Spirochaetota; Spirochaetia; Treponematales; Treponemataceae
Description: tRNA-Gly
Rfam family: tRNA
About the family: Transfer RNA (tRNA) molecules are approximately 80 nucleotides in length. Their secondary structure includes four short double-helical elements and three loops (D, anti-codon, and T loops).
Source: RNAcentral